This 493-nucleotide ribosomal RNA is filed under the name uncultured bacterium. RNAcentral's name for it is "bacterial SSU rRNA". It matches the Rfam family "Bacterial small subunit ribosomal RNA", at positions 28 to 507 of the family's 1533-position model. The record is from RNAcentral.
GAUGAACGCUAGCUACAGGCUUAACACAUGCAAGUCGAGGGGAAACGAUAUUGGAAGCUUGCUUCCGAUAGGCGUCGACCGGCGCACGGGUGAGUAACGCGUAUCCAACCUGCCCGUCACUUGGGAAUAACCUUGCGAAAGUAAGACUAAUACCCAAUGACGUCCAUAGAAGACAUCUGAAAUGGAUUAAAGAUUUAUCGGUGAUGGAUGGGGAUGCGUCUGAUUAGCUUGUUGGCGGGGUAACGGCCCACCAAGGCAACGAUCAGUAGGGGUUCUGAGAGGAAGGUCCCCCCACAUUGGAACUGAGACACGGUCCAAACUCCUACGGGAGGCAGCAGUGAGGAAUAUUGGUCAAUGGGCGAGAGCCUGAACCAGCCAAGUAGCGUGCAGGAUGACGGCCCUAUGGGUUGUAAACUGCUUUUAUGCGGGGAUAAAGCGGGCCACGUGUGGCCCCUUGCAGGUACCGCAUGAAUAAGGACCGGCUAAUUCCGUG